GAGUUCACAAUGAAUUUUUAUGCCUGGGUUUCUGUGACCCAAGUUAUGCUGAAGAAUAUGAGAGACACCACCUUUUAAAAAUUUUUACAUAGCCUGCGGCCACUGCAAUUCGUUAAUCCCUUUGGAAAAUUGCUUAAGCCUGGCAUGUUUUGUAAUGAACUUUAUCUCUUCACUACCAAAAGUCGUAAAAAGGAACUUCAGUGAGGAAAGAAACACAAUUGAUAAUUGAAUAUUUCAAAGAGAUCAGCAUUUUAGAAAACUGGCUUUUUGGAUUGGCUCACAGUUUUCCUACUUUUCUGUCCUGUCAGUUGAGAAGAAUACAUUUCAAGAGAUGCUCUUGGAAAACACGUUUGAUGGAGAGGUUGAUUUUUGUAACCUGUAUGCCGUAGUCAGCUUUGUGGUCACCUAAUGAUUCAAAAGACAUUUCCGUAAAUGCCUGGAAGCAAUCAGUCUUCUAGCCUUCGCUGAUGGGUUCUGCAUAUGAGUUCAGGCAUGCCUUCAGGACUCCACCAGGCACUUGGUAAUUCUGCCUUAUCCUUCACUUUUUGCUUGAGCAGCGCCGAAAGGUGAGCCAGAGGAGGGAAAUUUGGACAUGGACACAUAGGGAAGACAGCCAUGUGGAGACAGAGGCAGAGGUGGACCUGCUGCCGCAAAACCACAGGGCGCCAAGUACUGUGGGCCACUGAGAAAACUAAAGGAGAGGAAGGAUUCUUCCCUGGAGCUUUGGAGAGGGUAAUGAACUGUAACCUCACUGGACGUGUAAACAGACUGUGACCUACCUACUCUUGUGCCAAUCAUGGAGUUUCAGCCAAUCACAGGCGGCCGGCUGUUCAAACCAUGUUUAAAUAAGGCAAACGCAGAGCUGUAAGCAAUCUAGGUGUUUCUGCACCUCUCGUCCAUUUUCUGUUAAUUUCAGGUUUAUACAUAAGAUGAGCAACUUACCAAGUGCUUCUAAUUCUACUUGAUAAAAUGAUACUCCCUAAGCCACCUUGACUGGGUGUGAAAGAGGGCAAAUAAAGGCUUAAAUACAAUAUAUCUUCCUGAUGAGAUAACUGCAGACCUAUUUGUGGGAGAAAAUUGCUGCACAUAAGCAUUUGUGUUUGUUUUAUAUUCACUUUAACUGUGAAGAGGGAAAUGAAGUUCGAGCGGAAGCCAUGAGACUCUAUUGUAACAGCUCAUGAAAAAUUACAGCUCAACAUCCAAA
Long non-coding RNA from Homo sapiens (human), 1204 nucleotides. Ensembl annotates it as long intergenic non-protein coding RNA 705. The record is from Ensembl. Lineage: Eukaryota; Metazoa; Chordata; Mammalia; Primates; Hominidae.